GGUAGCCGGCCUGAGAGGGCGACCGGCCACACUGGGACUGAAACACGGCCCAGACUCCUACGGGAGGCAGCAGUGGGGAAUAUUGCACAAUGGGCGCAAGCCUGAUGCAGCGACGCCGCGUGAGGGAUGACGGCCUUCGGGUUGUAAACCUCUUUCAGCAGGGAAGAAGCGCAAGUGACGGUACCUGCAGAAGAAGCGCCGGCUAACUACGUGCCAGCAGCCGCGGUAAUACGUAGGGCGCGAGCGUUGUCCGGAAUUAUUGGGCGUAAAGAGCUCGUAGGCGGCUUGUCGCGUCGGUUGUGAAAGCCCGGGGCUUAACCCCGGGUCUGCAGUCGAUACGGGCAGGCUAGAGUUCGGUAGGGGAGAUCGGAAUUCCUGGUGUAGCGGUGAAAUGCGCAGAUAUCAGGAGGAACACCGGUGGCGAAGGCGGAUCUCUGGGCCGAUACUGACGCUGAGGAGCGAAAGCGUGGGGAGCGAACAGGAUUAGAUACCCUGGUAGUCCACGCCGUAAACGGUGGGCACUAGGUGUGGGCGACAUUCCACGUCGUCCGUGCCGCAGCUAACGCAUUAAGUGCCCCGCCUGGGGAGUACGGCCGCAAGGCUAAAACUCAAAGGAAUUGACGGGGGCCCGCACAAGCGGCGGAGCAUGUGGCUUAUUUCGACGCAACGCGAGAGAACCUUACCAACGCUUGACAUACACC
RNAcentral lists this ribosomal RNA (701 nucleotides) under Streptomyces atrovirens. RNAcentral's name for it is "bacterial SSU rRNA". It matches the Rfam family "Bacterial small subunit ribosomal RNA", at positions 282 to 992 of the family's 1533-position model. Lineage: Bacteria; Bacillati; Actinomycetota; Actinomycetes; Kitasatosporales; Streptomycetaceae. The record is from RNAcentral.